AUCAGAAUCACCUCGGGAGCUUGUUAAAAGCACAGAUGCUUUGACCCCAACCUAUAGAUUAGGAUUGAGCAGGUCUGGGUGGGGCCGAGGCAUAUGUAUUUUUAACAAGCUCCCUGGUGACUUGGAU
This 127-nucleotide microRNA precursor is filed under the name Marmota monax (woodchuck). The record is from RNAcentral. Lineage: Eukaryota; Metazoa; Chordata; Mammalia; Rodentia; Sciuridae.